GGUUCAAUGGUCUAAUGGUUAUGAUUUCUGUCUCACAUGUGGGAUAUGCACACAGAAGGUUCUGAGUUCGAUCCUCAGUUGAACCA
This 86-nucleotide transfer RNA is filed under the name Serpula lacrymans var. lacrymans S7.3. It matches the Rfam family "tRNA". Rfam says of the family: Transfer RNA (tRNA) molecules are approximately 80 nucleotides in length. Their secondary structure includes four short double-helical elements and three loops (D, anti-codon, and T loops). Lineage: Eukaryota; Fungi; Basidiomycota; Agaricomycetes; Boletales; Serpulaceae. The record is from Rfam by way of RNAcentral.